RNAcentral lists this long non-coding RNA (437 nucleotides) under Capra hircus (goat). Its description in RNAcentral is "lncRNA (ENSCHIG00000006905.1)". Lineage: Eukaryota; Metazoa; Chordata; Mammalia; Artiodactyla; Bovidae. The record is from RNAcentral.
AUGCAGAGCUCUGUGAGAGAGCCUGUCCUGAGGGCAGACUGGAGCCACAAAACACCUAAACCCAGCAACAACCAAGAACUGGCUUUCUCACACCUGCCACCACACACAGGAGAGCCGGGAGGAAAGUUACCACAGCCACACCCCAGGGUGCUUUGGUGCCACAGAUCUUCAGAAGAAGGAUUCUCCAGAUUUCUUCUGUACAUGGGGAUAGCUCCUAUGGUGGAAAAUGGCAAUUUAUGUGGGAUAAGAACUGACCUUACGCAUGCGUCCUCUGCAAGCUUUCUAUGGAAUCCAGGUAAAAAAUGGAAAUAUCAAGGUGAUGGAAUCUGUCUGAAGAAGGGUAGAGCAAUGAUUUUGUGGCAAUUAAAGUCAUUUAAAACAAACAAAAGAUGUUACUUGAAGCCCAAGUUGUAAGGUAAUAGUUAAACUCUCCUUUC